Long non-coding RNA from Chroicocephalus ridibundus (black-headed gull), 3422 nucleotides. RefSeq lists it as uncharacterized. The transcript is spliced from 5 exons. Lineage: Eukaryota; Metazoa; Chordata; Aves; Charadriiformes; Laridae. The record is from RefSeq and is a predicted model, not a curated record.
UGCGCCCCCCCCGGGGCGGGGGAGCGGGAGCGCGCAGCCGCCGCGGAGUCAACCUGGGAGGCGGAGGCCGCUCUCCUCCCCUGGCUGAGGGGCCCGGACCGGGCCGGUGGGGUGGGGUUAAGUGCGCUCCUCGUCCCCCCGCCCCGUCCCUGUGAGGCCGUCGGCUGGAGGCAGCCCCAGUUUGUUUUCACAGGUAUUCGUUCACAAGCAAAUUUUCUGUCUCCGUAAAUUUCCGCAGAGAUCACUGUGCCGAAUGCACCACGUGCAUCAAUUCAACUGCGUUAUCAGGGUCAGAAACCUUUCAAAACUCAUGUUACCCGCAGUUUGCACAGUUGAAAUGAUCAGGGUGAUAAGGAUCAUUUUUGAAUAUGAGAGGCUGUUCGUCAAUAAUGGCAUGACACUUCUGGCAAAUGUACUUUCCCAGGCCUCUGGCUUUCUCCCUGUUGUGGCAAGGACGGCAGAGAUGUCUGAAACGGGACAAAAAAGAGAGAAGACAACAGUUUUAACUUGGCAAGCACAUAGUACUGGUUUCUACUCCACUAGGACCAAGCCUUGAAGGGGCUCUAUACUCAAAGCACAACAGAACUGAUCUUGGGUGGCUGUGGACGUCCUGCAGAAAAAAACCCACAGAGUCAAAAUGCAAAGCUGCAGUGAAGCUUCAGAACAGCCAAUCCAACAUAUGCGAAUUAUGGCUUACCACAAGGAGUCCUGUCCUGUGAGACAUUAAAAAAAUAGUGUGAGAACUACUGUUUUGCAUGUACUUCAGAGGCAGUGGAGCCAUGUCCACCACACGUGUGAUUUAGUUCUCUAUGCGGACGUUGCAGGCAAGGCCCUUGAGAUGUGCAAAAACUCUGCCUGAAAUGUGUUGGGAGCUCAGCUUCCCAGUGCUGUGGGAAGCCGAGUCCUGAUUUUGGAGAACGUACAACUCAAACAGCUGCCAAAGGCCAGCAAUUGGGCAGGUAACCGAUGCAGAUGAUGACAUCCAGCAUGCAACCCUCUGGUUGGUGCUCCCAUGAAGUUGUAGCUUUUCAAGAACAAAACCCAAUGGACUACAGAAAUGUCAGGAAUGCUGGAGGCCUCAUCGCUAACAACAGCCCCGCCUAUUUUGGCUGUGCUUACUAAAUCCAAGCAGUUGCAAAGCCCAGCUCUGCACAGGACCUUGAGGAGGUUUUAAGGGAGCUGGUGCUGAGGAGCCAGGGCAGGAGCAGUGGGAGCCGUGCCAGCUGGGCAGGAGAAAUCCUGGAGAUAGGCAGCAUAGCUCCCCAGAAAUCACCACCGACCCUUUUCUUCCUCUUCCCCAGCUUGUUCACAUCCGCAGCUUUAAAUUCAAAGGUCCAUAACAUCUGCUUCCCCCUCCCUUGGUGUUCACCCUCUCCCUCCACUUGGGAAAGCCUCACUGAGGAAUGGCCCAGCAUGUUGGAGGAAGCAAGUACGGGGGAGGAAGAACACCCAGGGACAGAAAUCUUUGCAAUUUAUGGAGCAAUACAGCCAAAACAUGAAGGGAAAUAAGACUUUUCUUUCAUUAUGCUUAUUUCAUAGAAUUAUAAAAUCAUUUAGGUUGGAAAAGACCCUUAAGCUCAUCGAGUCCAGAUUUUAAGGAUCAAAGUUCACUACACUGACCAGAUGAAACAGGGAACCAAUCUUAUGGGAUUUGGAUCUGAAUCUUCUCACAGCUUAAAGAAGUUCAGCUGCAGUUCAAGCUCACAUAGAAAAAAACCCAUAUGGCAACAAAAAAGUACUACAGCACUGCAUUAGCAACUUAGCUGGAGAAUAUGUAAAAACACGUAGGCAAGUACAUCCUGAAAUGAAGAGAAAUGUUUAGAUACCUUCAGGCACAUCAUUACUAGACACACAUGCCAACUAGCAUGUCAAAACCAGACAGACAAUAUUAGGUAUGCUAUGGGAUGUUUGGAUUUGAAUGUCUCAGUUUAAAACACUGGAAAAAGGGGGAUAGCAGGAAGCCCCACUCCUUUCUUUUUACUGGGUCUAACACAAAACAAAGCAGAUAGCAUAAAAUAACUACCCACAAAUAAAGUUUUGGUGCACAGACAGAAAAUACAGCGAUGUCCUUCAAGAUAGCCUGCUUUAUACUAUGAAAUUCCAAGGAUCGAACACAAUAUAAACAUAGUAAUUAGUUGUGCAAUAUACAGAGCCACUGGCAGGGAUGGGAAUCUAAUGAAACACUCUAGAAGUCACUGGAUACUUGAGAUCAGAAAAUUUAAUUCCUGUGCCCAACCUGAAUUGCACCUACUAGGAACAGAAAGACCUGUGCUUGAUAUAGACUCUUCCAGAAGUCUCUGCUAGCAAUUUAUCAAGUGUUUUUCCAGUGUAAUACUCUAAACCAGACAACUUUCUAAAUUGGAGAAUUAUCUAUUUAAUUAUUUAUUUAUUACAGAGGGCUAUUACUUUCUCAAAGUGUAAUGGAAAUUACUGGUUCAUUGAGAAUUGUGCUUGCUUCCUGCUGGAUAAAAUCCUUUUUAAACUGAAAAAAAUCCAAAAGCUUCCUGUUUUGUGUAAACAGGUGGUCCAAUGGGAGAUACUUGGGUUUGCUUGGGUUUCAGAGUGACCACAUGUUGAUUGGGGCAGACCAAACAGGUUUUCUUCCCCUCUGGUUUGCAUCAGGCAGGUUGGUUGCCUUUCAGUCUCAGUCUUGUUUAUAUUGUCAGUGUUCUCGGCUCAUUUGUGCUGCCUUUUGCGGAUGACCCAGCAGCUCAUCCGUCAAAAAAGCCUUGAGCUUCUAUAACAAAUCCCACAGCACAUACUUUAAAAGCAAGGUCAUUUGACUGUUGUAUGCUGUAGGUCCAUGAGUUAAAUGCAUAGAAUAUUUCACCACAACAUAACCUGUAGACAAUCUCCAUGGUUUUAGCUAACCUACUGGAAAGACACGCUCAAAAACUGAGUCUUUAAAGACUCCUCCUCUAAGGCAGUUUCUGGUAAAGCUCAUUUUAAGAAAACACUCCAGGUGCAACUGGAAUAGAAACAAAUCUGACAAGCGCAUUGCAGCUGCACCUUCCUUUAAUCUUCCUAUAGGUUAUUACAAGCAUCUUAGAAAAAACCCAAAACUAAAAGAAACUCCAUCUCAUUCAGGAGACAAAAGUCACGUGCCAUUCCGUUUAUUUCAUUUUAUGAUAUAUUGAUAACAACAACAACAAUAAUAGCGAUACGGAUUCUCCAAUUAUAGCUCUUAUGAGUACUCCAUAAGGAUUUUGCUGUAUUUCUUCUAUUGUGGGAUGCACAUCUCUAGGCUCUUCCAUCUCCCUCACCCCAGCACAGCGCAGACAAGAGCAGGUUGGGCUUCUUCCAAAUACACCCAGCAAGAGGCUCUUAACUAACAGCUGGAUGAGGGGUAGGAGUCAUCUCUCUUAACCUCCCCUGUCUGAAGGUGAGGUGCCUGCAGUCCGCAGUGGGAGAGAGAGGCAACC